This 253-nucleotide ribosomal RNA is filed under the name uncultured bacterium. RNAcentral describes it as "partial 16S ribosomal RNA". It matches the Rfam family "Bacterial small subunit ribosomal RNA", at positions 524 to 776 of the family's 1533-position model. The record is from RNAcentral.
UACGUAGGUGGCAAGCGUUGUCCGGAUUUACUGGGCGUAAAGAGCGCGCAGGCGGUCGUUCAAGUCGCGUGUGAAAGCCCCCGGCUCAACUGGGGAGGGUCACGCGAUACUGAUCGACUCGAAGGCAGGAGAGGGUAGUGGAAUUCCCGGUGUAGUGGUGAAAUUCGUAGAUAUCGGGAGGAACACCGGUGGCGAAGGCGGCCUUCUGGACAAUGACUGACGCUGAGACGCGAAAGCGUGGGGAGCAAACAGG